AACGAACGCUGGCGGCAGGCUUAACACAUGCAAGUCGAGCGCCCCACAAGGGGAGCGGCAGACGGGUGAGUAACGCGUGGGAAUCUACCCAUCCCUACGGAAUAGCUCCGGGAAACUGGAAUUAAUACCGUAUACGCCCUACGGGGGAAAGAUUUAUCGGGGAUGGAUGAGCCCGCGUUGGAUUAGCUAGUUGGUGGGGUAAAGGCCUACCAAGGCGACGAUCCAUAGCUGGUCUGAGAGGAUGAUCAGCCACAUUGGGACUGAGACACGGCCCAAACUCCUACGGGAGGCAGCAGUGGGGAAUAUCGGACAAUGGGGGCAACCCUGAUCCAGCCAUGCCGCGUGAGUGAUGAAGGCCUUAGGGUUGUAAAGCUCUUUCACCGGGGAAGAUAAUGACGGUACCCGGAGAAGAAGCCCCGGCUAACUUCGUGCCAGCCGCCGCGGUAA
Molecule: ribosomal RNA, 447 nt
Filed under: uncultured bacterium
Lineage: Bacteria
Description: partial 16S ribosomal RNA
Rfam family: Bacterial small subunit ribosomal RNA
Source: RNAcentral